GACGUAGGGCGCAAGCGUUGUCCGGAUUUAUUGGGCGUAAAGAGCUCGUAGGCGGCUUGUUGCGUCGUCCGUGAAAACCCGUGGCUCAACUGCGGGCUUGCGGACGAUACGGGCAGGCUGGAGUUCGGUAGGGGAGACUGGAAUUCCUGGUGUAGCGGUGAAAUGCGCAGAUAUCAGGAGGAACACCGGUGGCGAAGGCGGUUCUCUGGGCCUGAUCUGACGCUGAGGAGCGAAAGCGUGGGGAGCGAACAGG
This 253-nucleotide ribosomal RNA is filed under the name uncultured bacterium. RNAcentral's name for it is "partial 16S ribosomal RNA". It matches the Rfam family "Bacterial small subunit ribosomal RNA", at positions 524 to 776 of the family's 1533-position model. The record is from RNAcentral.